UAUGGCCACAUCAGGUUGAAACACCGGUUACUGUACGAUCACGGAAGUUAAGUAACGUCGAGCCUGGUCAAUACCUAGAUGGGUGACUGUUUGGGAAUACCAGGCGCUGUAAG
Non-coding RNA from Acanthosepion pharaonis, 113 nucleotides. The record is from the annotation of a GenBank genome assembly. Lineage: Eukaryota; Metazoa; Mollusca; Cephalopoda; Sepiida; Sepiidae.